CUUGAAUUAUCCAAACAAAGAAGUGUGUCUCCUAACAAGUGUUGCUUGAAUUAUCCGAACAAGGAAGUGCGUCUCCUUACAAAUGGUGCUUGAAUUACCCAGACAAGGAAGUGCAUCUCCUUACAAAUGCCAAUCGAAUUACCAAACAAGGAAGUGCGUCUCCUUACAAAUGUUUCUUGAAUUAUCAAACAAAGAAGUG
Molecule: long non-coding RNA, 199 nt
Filed under: Capsicum annuum
Lineage: Eukaryota; Viridiplantae; Streptophyta; Magnoliopsida; Solanales; Solanaceae
Description: long non-coding RNA (CANN_LNC000065)
Source: RNAcentral